This 1656-nucleotide ribosomal RNA is filed under the name Patellaria cf. atrata BCC 28877. RNAcentral's name for it is "eukaryotic LSU rRNA". It matches the Rfam family "Eukaryotic large subunit ribosomal RNA", at positions 82 to 1410 of the family's 3401-position model. Lineage: Eukaryota; Fungi; Ascomycota; Dothideomycetes; Patellariales; Patellariaceae. The record is from RNAcentral.
AGUAACGGCGAGUGAAGCGGCAACAGCUCAAAUUUGAAAUCUGUCUCUUUCAGAGACCGAGUUGUAAUUUGUAGAGGGUGCUUCGGGGUCGGCUCCGGUCUAAGUUCCUUGGAACAGGACGUCACAGAGGGUGAGAAUCCCGUACGUGGCCGGCUGUCUUCCCCAUGUGAAGCCCCUUCGACGAGUCGAGUUGUUUGGGAAUGCAGCUCUAAAUGGGAGGUAUAUUUCUUCUAAAGCUAAAUAUCGGCCGGAGACCGAUAGCGCACAAGUAGAGUGAUCGAAAGAUGAAAAGCACUUUGAAAAGAGAGUCAAAAAGUACGUGAAAUUGUUGAAAGGGAAGCGCUUGCGACCAGACUUGCCCGCAGUUGCUCAACCGGCCUUCUGGCUCGGUGCACUCUUCUGCGGUCAGGCCAGCAUCGGUUCGGGCGGUCGGAUAAAGACCUUGGGAAUGUGGCUUCCCUCGGGGAGUGUUAUAGCCCUUGGUGCAAUGCGGCCAGCCUGGACCGAGGACCGCGCUUCGGCUAGGAUGCUGGCGUAAUGGUCGUAAGCGGCCCGUCUUGAAACACGGACCAAGGAGUCUAACAUCUAUGCGAGUGUUUGGGCGUUAAACCCAUACGCGUAAUGAAAGUGAACGGAGGUGGGAACCUUAGGGUGCACCAUCGACCGAUCCCGAUGUCUUCGGAAGGAUUUGAGUAAGAGCAUAGCUGUUGGGACCCGAAAGAUGGUGAACUAUACGUGAAUAGGGUGAAGCCAGAGGAAACUCUGGUGGAGGCUCGCAGCGGUUCUGACGUGCAAAUCGAUCGUCAAAUUUGGGUAUAGGGGCCUAGUCCUUAACCUUUAAGGGCCACACUACUAAAUUGCGGGGACACCUUUCAUAGCUUAGAGUACCGCGGCCUCAUCGAAAGAUCAGGUGCAGCACCAAAGUUAGCCCUUUGGGUAUGGUAAAAAUUUCUAAGAUUAGGUAACCACGCAGCCAAAUCCUGAGCCCGUGCGGGUUAUGGAUGCAGUUCACAGACUAGAUAGUAGUGGGUGCAGUGUUGACUGCGCUUAAGAUAUAGUCGAACCGCCUCGAAAGGAGGCUCGAGGGGAGAAAGCUUAAUAUGCAAGGGUAUCGUCCACGGGACGUUCUUAUUAGGCCCGAGUCCCCUUGGAGAAGCUAACGUCGGUUUCGACGUGGCUCUCGGGUUGUGCUAGUAGCUGGUUCCUGCCGAAGUUUCCCUCAGGAUAGCAGUAACGUUUUCAGUUUUAUGAGGUAAAGCGAAUGAUUAGAGGCCUUGGGGUUGAAACAACCUUAACCUAUUCUCAAACUUUAAAUAUGUAAGAAGUCCUUGUUACUUAAUUGAACGUGGACAUUUGAAUGCACCGUUACUAGUGGGCCAUUUUUGGUAAGCAGAACUGGCGAUGCGGGAUGAACCGAACGCGAGGUUAAGGUGCCGGAAUGCACGCUCAUCAGACACCACAAAAGGUGUUAGUUCAUCUGGACAGCAGGACGGUGGCCAUGGAAGUCGGAACCCGCUAAGGAGUGUGUAACAACUCACCUGCCGAAUGAACUAGCCCUGAAAAUGGAUGGCGCUCAAGCGUGCUACCCAUACCUCGCCGCCCGGGUAGAUUCGAUGCCCGGGCGAGUAGGCAGGCGUGGAGGUCCGUGACGAAGCC